GACCGCUCCGGUGGCCUAGUGGUUAGAGCGUCCGCCUCGGAUGCGGAAGGUCGCUAAUUCAAACCCCGGCUGAGUCA
Potamilus streckersoni is the source of this 77-nucleotide non-coding RNA. Lineage: Eukaryota; Metazoa; Mollusca; Bivalvia; Unionida; Unionidae. The record is from the annotation of a GenBank genome assembly.